Phaethon lepturus (White-tailed tropicbird) is the source of this 73-nucleotide transfer RNA. It matches the Rfam family "tRNA". Rfam says of the family: Transfer RNA (tRNA) molecules are approximately 80 nucleotides in length. Their secondary structure includes four short double-helical elements and three loops (D, anti-codon, and T loops). Lineage: Eukaryota; Metazoa; Chordata; Aves; Phaethontiformes; Phaethontidae. The record is from Rfam.
GGGCCAGUAGCGCAAUGGACAACGCACCUGAUUAUGGAUCAGGAGAUUGCAGGUUCGACUCCUGCCUGGUUUG